CGGACGGGUGAGUAAUGUCUGGGAAACUGCCCGAUGGAGGGGGAUAACUACUGGAAACGGUAGCUAAUAUCGCAUAACGUCGCAAGACCAAAGAGGGGGACCUUCGGGCCUCUUGCCAUCGGAUGUGCCCAGAUGGGAUUAGCUAGUAGGUGGGGUAACGGCUCACCUAGGCGACGAUCCCUAGCUGGUCUGAGAGGAUGACCAGCCACACUGGAACUGAGACACGGUCCAG
Molecule: ribosomal RNA, 232 nt
Filed under: uncultured bacterium
Lineage: Bacteria
Description: partial 16S ribosomal RNA
Rfam family: Bacterial small subunit ribosomal RNA
Source: RNAcentral